AACGAACGCUGGCGGCAGGCCUCAAACAUGCAAGUCUAGGGGGUGCAGCAAUGCAUCACCGGCGGACGGGUGCGUAACGCGUGGGAAUAUACCUAUUGGUUCGGAACAACUGCGGGAAACUGCAGCUAAUACCUAAUGUGCCCUAACGGGGAAAGAUUUAUCGCCAAUGGAUUAGCCCGCGUAGGAUUAGCUAGUUGGUGGGGUAAUGGCUCACCAAGGCUCCGAUCCUAGCUGUUCUGAGAGGAAGAUCAGCCACACUGGGACUGAGACACGGCCCAGACUCCUACGGGAGGCAGCAGUUGGGAAUCUUGGACAGUGGGGGAAACCCUGAUCCAGCCAUGCCGCGUGAGGGAAGAAGGCCUUCGGUUG
RNAcentral lists this ribosomal RNA (369 nucleotides) under uncultured bacterium. Its description in RNAcentral is "bacterial SSU rRNA". It matches the Rfam family "Bacterial small subunit ribosomal RNA", at positions 29 to 425 of the family's 1533-position model. The record is from RNAcentral.